Molecule: ribosomal RNA, 272 nt
Filed under: uncultured Eubacteriales bacterium
Lineage: Bacteria; Bacillati; Bacillota; Clostridia; Eubacteriales
Description: uncultured Clostridiales bacterium partial 16S ribosomal RNA
Rfam family: Bacterial small subunit ribosomal RNA
Source: RNAcentral
AGUUUUCGGACAAUGGAUGUAGAGGAAAGCGGCGGACGGGUGAGUAACGCGUGAGUAACCUGCCUUCAGGAGGGGGAUAACAUUCCGAAAGGAAUGCUAAUACCGCAUGACAUUGUAUUUCCGCAUGGAAUAACAAUCAAAGAUUUAUCGCCUGAAGAUGGACUCGCGUCUGAUUAGAUAGUUGGUGGGGUAAAGGCCUACCAAGUCGACGAUCAGUAGCCGAACUGAGAGGUUGAUCGGCCACAUUGGGACUGAGACACGGCCCAGACUCC